This 189-nucleotide ribosomal RNA is filed under the name uncultured bacterium. RNAcentral's name for it is "partial 16S ribosomal RNA". It matches the Rfam family "Bacterial small subunit ribosomal RNA", at positions 280 to 486 of the family's 1533-position model. The record is from RNAcentral.
UCUAUAGCUGGUUUUAGAGGAUGAUCAGCAACACUGGGACUGAGACACNNNCCAGACUCCUACGGGAGGCAGCAGUGGGGAAUCUUAGACAAUGGGGGCAACCCUGAUCUAGCCAUGCCGCGUGAGUGAUGAAGGCCUUAGGGUCGUAAUGCUCUUUCGCCUGUGAUGAUAAUGACAGUAGCAGGCAAA